Molecule: transfer RNA, 72 nt
Filed under: Pelolinea sp.
Lineage: Bacteria; Bacillati; Chloroflexota; Anaerolineae; Anaerolineales; Anaerolineaceae
Description: tRNA-His
Rfam family: tRNA
About the family: Transfer RNA (tRNA) molecules are approximately 80 nucleotides in length. Their secondary structure includes four short double-helical elements and three loops (D, anti-codon, and T loops). Further hydrogen bonds mediate the characteristic L-shaped molecular structure. tRNAs have two regions of fundamental functional importance: the anti-codon, which is responsible for specific mRNA codon recognition, and the 3' end, to which the tRNAs corresponding amino acid is attached (by aminoacyl-tRNA synthetases). tRNAs cope with the degeneracy of the genetic code in two manners: having more than one tRNA (with a specific anti-codon) for a particular amino acid; and 'wobble' base-pairing, i.e. permitting non-standard base-pairing at the 3rd anti-codon position.
Source: RNAcentral
GUGGCUGUAGCUCAAUGGCAGAGCACCUGUCUGUGGAACAGGAUGUUGCGGGUUCAACCCCCGUCAGCCACC